GCUCUUAGGCAGCACAUAUACUAAAAAAUCGGAACGAUACAGAGAAGAUUAGUAUGACCCUGGGCAAGGAUGGCAUGCAAAUUCAUGAAGCCUUCCACAUAGAG
This is a small nuclear RNA of Ornithorhynchus anatinus (platypus), 104 nucleotides long. The record is from RefSeq and is a predicted model, not a curated record. Lineage: Eukaryota; Metazoa; Chordata; Mammalia; Monotremata; Ornithorhynchidae.